RNAcentral lists this long non-coding RNA (4551 nucleotides) under Sus scrofa (pig). RNAcentral's name for it is "lncRNA (ENSSSCG00015032315.1)". Lineage: Eukaryota; Metazoa; Chordata; Mammalia; Artiodactyla; Suidae. The record is from RNAcentral.
GGUUGAAUUUCUAACUUCUAAAUGUAACAUAACACACAUUUGAGAGUGAGAUAAAACUGAUGGAAUCGUCUAGGAAUUUAGACAUAGAAAUACCUACACCUUGCUCUUUACCUUAUAAACAGGAGAACUGCCUAAGGUGAAGAAGUGUUCUAUUCAAGUUGGGGGAUAUUGCAAAGUUAGGUGGAAAAAAGAGUGAAGGAAUCCAAAAUACGGAAAAAUAUAUUUCUGGCAAGAUUGGACAUGGAGUUCAGACAGAGCUGAGAAAAAGUGAAAUCAGAAUUAUCUGAUGGAUUUCAGCAUGGAAGAUGGCUGUGACAAUGAAGAUAAGGACUUGCAGGCAUGAGAAAAGGAGCAUGCCUGAGUUAACUGAUCCCUUUAAAGCAGGGUUUGAGCGAUUCAGCAUCUUAGAGGAGAUCUUUCAUGGAGUCCAAGGCAUGGCCAAGUUUUGAGACAUUCAUAAGAGAGACAAAAAGAAAACAAUCAUAUCUAAUUGUUAGCAUUUUUCUCUAUAUCUCUAUGUUUUCAUGUAUAUUAUCUCAUUUAAUAUUCAUAAAAAUUCUCUGAUAAGUGUAGGAUUAGUCCUAUUUUGUAAGUAAAACACUUAGGCUCAGAGAAGUAGACAAACUUGUGGAAGUUUACAUAAGCAUUAAGUGAAAGAAUACUUUUGCCAAAACCCUAUUAUUGCCUCCACGUAUCAUGGUGGAACUAGAGUUUAGAAAAAUUCUCAGGAUGGAUGGUAAAGUAAAUUUUCAAGGAUGCUGGUAAUACUAGCACAUCUUAGGUGCUCAGUAGAUAUUGAUGGAAGCACAUUAAAGAGGACAAAUUUAACUGCUUUAAACUUAAAGGGGCAGAAUUCAACCUGGGCCACGGCAGUGCUAGUACAGAAUCCUAACCACUAGAGCACCAGGGUACUCCUCGGUAUGGAUCUUGACUAAAAAAAUCUCUAAAGAAAUUCAGUUUUGCUCUUUAGUUAACCAUAUUAACAACCAAACACUAUGCAGAUGAAACUGUUAUUUCUUUAUGAAAAUAUGAGUUUGUUACCAUGAGAACUUAUUGGAAUUAUUUUUCUUUAGAGCUAUAUUGUCACUUCGCCUAUUGACAAUAGAGACAUUUUGUAAUGCAUCAUGUGCUUGUGUUCUCUUACAAGAUGGGAAAAGACGCACACUGAAAAAAACUUCUUAAUUUUAAUUUCCACAGCAAGUCUAAAUGUUAUCCAAUGUGUUCAUCUUGUUUUACGUUUAUAAAAGGAGGAAGGAAAGAAGAAAGUAUCAAUAUUUAAGAAAUUAAGAGUGCACAUCAGUUGUACUUUUUUAUUUUGUCUGUGCCCAUGGCAUGAAUAAGUUCCCGGGCCAGGGAGCUAACCUGAGCCACAACAGUGAUAAUGCCAGGUCCUUAACUACUAUGCCGUCAGGGGACUCCAGUUGUACCAUUUUUAUACUCUUUGCUUUAUGUUAGAAUAUUAGCAAGAUUUUUAAAAAUAUUGCCAUAUUUUAAGUGGUGUUAAUUAUUUAACUGUUUAAUCAUCAUCAUUAAACAAUUUCCAUAAAGAAAAUCCUUAAGUCGGGAAAAUCUAUGAAGGAUUUUAUCCUCCACCUGGUGUUAUUGGCUUCUUGCCUCAAUCAUCCGAAUUAUGAUAUUUAUUAUCUCCCUGUUGCCACCAGAGGGAGAUGCAGAGUCUCAUUAGGGACCAGCAUUGCUGGUUAGUGUGAAUGUUUAAUAUCAUUUAUCUGUCUCUCUCAGUAAACUUUGUUAUGAAAUUAUUUCUAGACAUUGAUAAGGCAAAGCAUGUUACAAUUGGGAAGCAUUAGCGUGAUGUCAAGCUUAAAUUCAUGUGACAAGAAGAACAUUAUUUUAUGUAGUAGAGUUCAAGAUAACCCCAGAGAAAGAAUACAGUUUACAGCAUAAUCAAAGCCGAUGUUUGACAAGGAAGAUUUUUACUUCAUAAUAAAUGAGUUGACUCUGAAUUUUGGACAAAUAUCUUACUCAAAACACUGUAGUUGGCAUAUUUUAACUUGGUGCCUUGAUUCUUUUCAGUUUAAUUGGCAGGUUUUUCAAAAGGACUGACCUGCUCAAAUUUAAAUUUAAAGAUAAGAGAAUCUUUUGUAUUUAUCAGCUUUCACCAGCAGUUGUAAAUAUACUUGAUGGAAAUUUACUGAAUUUGUGGGUGGUAGUUUUUUAAUUUUUUUCCCCUCUGCCUUUUAGAUAUAGAUGUACCAGCCAGAGUAUAGAUUUUUGAUAUGCUUUUUCUCAUUUCUCUAGUCUGACAAAUACAUAAAAGAACAUAAAGAUCUUUUUUUAAGUCUAGUAAAUUAUGGCAGCAUGUGCUGGCUCCAAAAAAUGGACAAGAAGAAAUAGGUGAUCUGUUGUAUGUCAAGUAAAAAAAAAAUCAGUCAUUUUCAUUUUUUAAUUUUGUUAAAUGUGUUUUUAUUAAACAAUAAUGCCAUAGAAAAACUUGAAAAAUGGAUUAGUUUAUUGACAUUACUGUGUUUUAUUACUAGAAAUUUUGGUUAAAAACAGAAUAACAAAGUCCAGCUCUUUUCUUUCUAUAUCCCAGUGUUAAUUAGCCCAGUUACUUGGCAUUUUGAAUAAUAUGAAAGUUUGUAACUAAAUAGUACUAUAAAAGCAAUACCUUCUGGAUUCUGCUGGUGAAAUGAAAAUUACUAUGAAACAAACUAAAUGUAAGGUUUUUUUCAGAGUGUUAAUUUCAUUUAAAUUAUCACAAAUUUUAUGUUGCAUUUUAUUUUAGCAGUGUGAUUCCUUGCAUAGUAAUCUGCUUGGAGUUUGCUAUAGUGUGGGAGUUAACUGUGACUUGAGAAUUGUGUAUAUGUGCAUUUUAAAAUGUCUUUUUUUUUCAACUUUGUGGAAAAUGUCCACUUUCACACACAUUUGGAUACAAGGAAAUUUGGAAAUGGUCUUUUUAUUUUGGCAGGCUCAAAUAUAGAGGCUAUGUUUUAAUGCUAAAGAGUUUGCAUUCAACUAUAAGAACUAUCUCCAUGUAGUGUUUGAUUUGACCAGUGGUUUAACCAGCCUUGGAAUUCUUUUCUUGACCAGUAUAAUAGUAGCUGAAGCUAUUUAACUAUGUUCUUGGUGGGAAGAGAAAAUAGGGCUGAUAUAUAUGAACCAAACAGUAAAGCAAAGAAUACACAUGAGCAAAGAUAGGAAAUGGAUGAUUGUAAUAUCAAUAGAAAGGAGUUAGCCAGUAGGCAAAUCUAGGUAUGCAGCAAUGACAUGGAAACCAACUAGGAAAAACCAAACCAAUAGUUAGUCAUUUCCAAGGAAAUGACUGCUGCAGGAAUGAGAACUGUUCAACAUAAACCUACUGUGUAGUCCUUGUUGAAUUAAAUAAAAUUCAUUGAAAUCACUACUGGAGCUAUUAAGCCUAUUAGACUUUCUCAGCUUUCCAGGUGUUAUCUAGAUUGUUAAGUCUCAUGGCUGUACAGUACAACUUGAAAAAUAAUUAUAUAUUUGAUAAAUUUAACCAAUAUUGUCUGAAAAUGUUUCUUUAUAAAAUGAUCUUAUAGAAAUUGCUAAGAAAAAUAGAAAUACAUCUAAAGAUGAACAAAAGACAAAUUAAAUAACAAAUACAUUAGAUGUUACCUAAUAGCACAGGUAAUUAAAGAAAUGGAAAAUUAAGCAAAGCAUAUUAAGCUUAUUAAAGUAGAAGAUGAGAGUGUGAUACUUUGUGCUAGGAAAAAGUGAGAAAUUGUCAGAUUUUUGAACUGUUGCAAGAAUCCACAUAUUUCAAAAUAUUCUUCAAAAAAUACCUAUCUUUCAACUAAGUAUAUUUGCAUCUAGGAAUUCUUUCUAAAAUAAUCAUUUGAACAGUUAUGCAGACAUACAUGUAGACAAAUAUUCAUUAUAAGUUACUAUGUUGCUCCUUAAAAAGAUUAAACACACACAGAUAUCUAUAUGAAGAGAUAAGAAAUUAAAAAAUGCCAACACAUUAUAUUAAGUGAAAAAAGUUCACAUAAUAUAUUGACAUUUGUGAAGAUGUAUGGGUUCAUAGAUAACUAUAACAUAUAUUUCCCAUCAGCAGUAACAUUCUAUACCAGAAGCUCUAAGUAUUUUACACAUGACAACUCAUUUAAUCCUGAUCACUCUAUGAGAAAGACAUUAUCGUCUACAUAUACAGAUAAAUGUAAUGUAUCUGUGAAUUACAUUGAUCUGUAAAUGUGGGUAAAUUAUUCAAUCUGAGAAAGAAACAGACUGGAUAAAUUGCCUAGACAGUAGAAAGUAACAGAGUGAAGAUUUGAACACAUGCACUGAUUCCAGACACCAUAAUAUAUUAAGACACAUGGAGUUCCCAUCAUGGCUUAGCAGAAGUGAAUCUGACUAGUGUCCAUGAGGAUGCAGGUUUGAUCCCUGGCCUCACUCAGUGGUUUAAGGAUCCAGCGUUGUCGUUAGCUGUGUGCAAGUCACAGACGUGGCUUGGAUCUGGCAUGGGCUGUGGCUGUUGUGUAGGCCCGCUGCUGUAGCUCCGAUGCGACCCCUAGCCUGGGAACCUCCAUGCACCUCAGGUGUGGUCCUAAAAAGACAAAAAAAAAAAAAAAA